AGUCGAGCGAACAGACGAGGAGCUUGCUCCUCUGACGUUAGCGGCGGACGGGUGAGUAACACGUGGAUAACCUACCUAUAAGACUGGGAUAACUUCGGGAAACCGGAGCUAAUACCGGAUAAUAUAUUGAACCGCAUGGUUCAAUAGUGAAAGACGGUUUUGCUGUCACUUAUAGAUGGAUCCGCGCCGCAUUAGCUAGUUGGUAAGGUAACGGCUUACCAAGGCAACGAUGCGUAGCCGACCUGAGAGGGUGAUCGGCCACACUGGAACUGAGACACGGUCCAGACUCCUACGGGAGGCAGCAGUAGGGAAUCUUCCGCAAUGGGCGAAAGCCUGACGGAGCAACGCCGCGUGAGUGAUGAAGGUCUUCGGAUCGUAAAACUCUGUUAUUAGGGAAGAACAAAUGUGUAAGUAACUAUGCACGUCUUGACGGUACCUAAUCAGAAAGCCACGGCUAACUACGUGCCAGCAGCCGCGGUAAUACGUAGGUGGCAAGCGUUAUCCGGAAUUAUUGGGCGUAAAGCGCGCGUAGGCGGUUUUUUAAGUCUGAUGUGAAAGCCCACGGCUCAACCGUGGAGGGUCAUUGGAAACUGGAAAACUUGAGUGCAGAAGAGGAAAGUGGAAUUCCAUGUGUAGCGGUGAAAUGCGCAGAGAUAUGGAGGAACACCAGUGGCGAAGGCGACUUUCUGGUCUGUAACUGACGCUGAUGUGCGAAAGCGUGGGGAUCAAACAGGAUUA
RNAcentral lists this ribosomal RNA (738 nucleotides) under uncultured Staphylococcus sp. Its description in RNAcentral is "bacterial SSU rRNA". It matches the Rfam family "Bacterial small subunit ribosomal RNA", at positions 60 to 780 of the family's 1533-position model. Lineage: Bacteria; Bacillati; Bacillota; Bacilli; Caryophanales; Staphylococcaceae. The record is from RNAcentral.